CCUUGACUUUUGAGGCAAGUACUGCAGCAGUCAUUUUAAAGAUGCAGUAAGCCCUUUUGCAGUGGAACCCUGGCCACCGUGAAAUCUUCCUCCUCCAGCUGAGAGGUAAAAGCCUAAAUGUAAGCAGGUGUCUUCUCUCUGCCUACUCCCUUGCCGAAAGGGGAUGGUUCUAACCCUUUCAUUCUACUAGUUACAAGCAGGAGCUCAGCCAAAGCCUAGAAGGAAUUUCUGCACUUUGUAGAUUGGGACCCUGAAGUCUGGGAGCCACUUGCUUUCCAGAUCUAUCAAUGUCUUGCAGAACUUUGCAGAUCCCAAGGGUCUAGCUGAAAUAACUGAGAAGGAAGGAGCUGGAAUGGGUUAGUGCCUACAACCUGUCUCCUGAUUAGUGUGCCAGAAGUCCAUCUUUCUAUAGGGAGUGCAAAUGAAGGCAUUAUAUGGAUGAAGGUCUGGAUCAUCCUGGGCAAGGUCCAUCACUAUAACCUUUAGAUCUAUGGGGAAAAAAUGUUCUCUUAAAUUAGAUCUAUUUGGUGUUUGUGAAGACAUAUGGAGUGAGAAUACUGGAAACCACAUGCCUGCAUUUAUCUGAAGGUUGGGGAUUACCUUCCUGACAGGAACCAGAGGACUGUUGCGAGGAGGCCUCGUCUGGUGCUGAUACUUCUCUCCCUGGAGCCUCACACAAUACGGCAAUCUCUGCUUGGUAGAGGCCCCUUAGGAAUCAGGGCCAGCUCACACGGGUUAAGCGCUCUCACAACUAAAAUAUAAAUGACAAUCUUUUUCAAAGGUCUUGCUUCUUCUGUGGCCUUCUUCUGCAGAU
This is a long non-coding RNA of Dromaius novaehollandiae (emu), 814 nucleotides long. RefSeq lists it as uncharacterized. The record is from RefSeq and is a predicted model, not a curated record. The transcript is spliced from 5 exons. NCBI's taxonomy places the organism in Eukaryota, Metazoa, Chordata, Aves, Casuariiformes, Dromaiidae.